RNAcentral lists this transfer RNA (73 nucleotides) under Calonectria ilicicola. RNAcentral describes it as "tRNA-Met". It matches the Rfam family "tRNA". Rfam says of the family: Transfer RNA (tRNA) molecules are approximately 80 nucleotides in length. Their secondary structure includes four short double-helical elements and three loops (D, anti-codon, and T loops). The record is from RNAcentral. Lineage: Eukaryota; Fungi; Ascomycota; Sordariomycetes; Hypocreales; Nectriaceae.
GCCUCGGUAGUUUAAAUGGUUAAAACCUUAAUUUCAUACGUUAAAGAUGAGAAUUCGAUUUUCUCCCAAGGCU